This 1111-nucleotide ribosomal RNA is filed under the name Segatella copri. RNAcentral describes it as "bacterial SSU rRNA". It matches the Rfam family "Bacterial small subunit ribosomal RNA", at positions 134 to 1247 of the family's 1533-position model. Lineage: Bacteria; Pseudomonadati; Bacteroidota; Bacteroidia; Bacteroidales; Prevotellaceae. The record is from RNAcentral.
CACUUGGGGAUAACCUUGCGAAAGUAAGACUAAUACCCAAUGACGUCUCUAGAAGACAUCUGAAAGAGAUUAAAGAUUUAUCGGUGAUGGAUGGGGAUGCGUCUGAUUAGCUUGUUGGCGGGGUAACGGCCCACCAAGGCAACGAUCAGUAGGGGUUCUGAGAGGAAGGUCCCCCACAUUGGAACUGAGACACGGUCCAAACUCCUACGGGAGGCAGCAGUGAGGAAUAUUGGUCAAUGGGCGAGAGCCUGAACCAGCCAAGUAGCGUGCAGGAUGACGGCCCUAUGGGUUGUAAACUGCUUUUAUAAGGGAAUAAAGUGAGUCUCGUGAGACUUUUUGCAUGUACCUUAUGAAUAAGGACCGGCUAAUUCCGUGCCAGCAGCCGCGGUAAUACGGAAGGUCCGGGCGUUAUCCGGAUUUAUUGGGUUUAAAGGGAGCGUAGGCCGGAGAUUAAGCGUGUUGUGAAAUGUAGACGCUCAACGUCUGCACUGCAGCGCGAACUGGUUUCCUUGAGUACGCACAAAGUGGGCGGAAUUCGUGGUGUAGCGGUGAAAUGCUUAGAUAUCACGAAGAACUCCGAUUGCGAAGGCAGCUCACUGGAGCGCAACUGACGCUGAAGCUCGAAAGUGCGGGUAUCGAACAGGAUUAGAUACCCUGGUAGUCCGCACGGUAAACGAUGGAUGCCCGCUGUUGGUCUGAAUAGGUCAGCGGCCAAGCGAAAGCAUUAAGCAUCCCACCUGGGGAGUACGCCGGCAACGGUGAAACUCAAAGGAAUUGACGGGGGCCCGCACAAGCGGAGGAACAUGUGGUUUAAUUCGAUGAUACGCGAGGAACCUUACCCGGGCUUGAAUUGCAGAGGAAGGAUUUGGAGACAAUGACGCCCUUCGGGGCCUCUGUGAAGGUGCUGCAUGGUUGUCGUCAGCUCGUGCCGUGAGGUGUCGGCUUAAGUGCCAUAACGAGCGCAACCCCUCUCCUUAGUUGCCAUCAGGUCAAGCUGGGCACUCUGGGGACACUGCCACCGUAAGGUGUGAGGAAGGUGGGGAUGACGUCAAAUCAGCACGGCCCUUACGUCCGGGGCUACACACGUGUUACAAUGGCAGGUACAGAGAGA